GACGAACGCUGGCGGCGUGCUUAACACAUGCAAGUCGAACGGAAAGGCCCUGCUUUUGUGGGGUGCUCGAGUGGCGAACGGGUGAGUAACACGUGAGUAACCUGCCCUUGACUUUGGGAUAACUUCAGGAAACUGGGGCUAAUACCGGAUAGGAGCUCCUGCUGCAUGGUGGGGGUUGGAAAGUUUCGGCGGUUGGGGAUGGACUCGCGGCUUAUCAGCUUGUUGGUGGGGUAGUGGCUUACCAAGGCUUUGACGGGUAGCCGGCCUGAGAGGGUGACCGGCCACAUCGGGACUGAGAUGCGGCACAGACUCCUACGGGAGGCAGCAGUGGGGAAUAUUGCACAAUGGGCGGAACCCUGAUGCAGCAACGCAGCGUGCGGGAUGACGGCAUUCGGGUUGUAAACCGCUUUCGCCUGUGACGAAGCGUGAGUGACGGUAAUGGGUAAAGAAGCACCGGCUAACUACGUG
This 468-nucleotide ribosomal RNA is filed under the name uncultured bacterium. RNAcentral's name for it is "partial 16S ribosomal RNA". It matches the Rfam family "Bacterial small subunit ribosomal RNA", at positions 28 to 507 of the family's 1533-position model. The record is from RNAcentral.